This 66-nucleotide transfer RNA is filed under the name Dopasia gracilis (Burmese glass lizard). Its description in RNAcentral is "tRNA-Arg". The record is from RNAcentral. Lineage: Eukaryota; Metazoa; Chordata; Lepidosauria; Squamata; Anguidae.
UAGAGAUUAGUCUAAGCAAGACAACUAGUUUCGACCUAGUAAACCUCGACCCUACGAGAUCUCUAA